UUCCCUCUCAUUGAUGCACGCCUCUUGUCCAAAACAUGCCACGCAUACCACAAACCCACGCUGCUGUCACUACUCUCAUUUCCCACGCAAAAUACACUAUUUUUUACCUUCAAACCAAAUGAAACAAAAACGUAUCUAACAAUACAACCACAACAACAUCUCACUCACUAUUGCUUUUCUCCCUCUCCCUCUAACUCUCCUCC
RNAcentral lists this long non-coding RNA (203 nucleotides) under Vigna radiata. RNAcentral describes it as "long non-coding RNA (VRAD_LNC011807)". The record is from RNAcentral. Lineage: Eukaryota; Viridiplantae; Streptophyta; Magnoliopsida; Fabales; Fabaceae.